GGAUGGAUAGCGAAGUGGUUAAACGCUCCUGACUGUAAAUCAGGCGGUUCUGCCUUCGAAGGUUCGAAUCCUUCUCCAUCCA
Molecule: transfer RNA, 82 nt
Filed under: Bacteriophage sp.
Description: tRNA-Tyr
Rfam family: tRNA
About the family: Transfer RNA (tRNA) molecules are approximately 80 nucleotides in length. Their secondary structure includes four short double-helical elements and three loops (D, anti-codon, and T loops). Further hydrogen bonds mediate the characteristic L-shaped molecular structure. tRNAs have two regions of fundamental functional importance: the anti-codon, which is responsible for specific mRNA codon recognition, and the 3' end, to which the tRNAs corresponding amino acid is attached (by aminoacyl-tRNA synthetases). tRNAs cope with the degeneracy of the genetic code in two manners: having more than one tRNA (with a specific anti-codon) for a particular amino acid; and 'wobble' base-pairing, i.e. permitting non-standard base-pairing at the 3rd anti-codon position.
Source: RNAcentral